GUCAAGAUUUCUGGAAUGGAUCCUGGCUUAAAUCUACAUGGCCCCUGGAUUGGACUGCCGCCGAUCAGGCUGUUGGUGAGGUAAUGGCCCACCAAACCUAUAACCGGUACGGGCUCUGAGAGGAGAAGCCCGGAGAUGGGCACUGAGACAAGGGCCCAGGCCCUAUGGGGCGCAGCAGGCGCGAAAACUCUGCAAUGGGCGAAAGCCUGACAGAGUUACUCUGAGUGAUUUCCGCUAAGGAGAUCUUUUGGCAGCUCUAAAAAUGGUGCAGAAUAAGGGGUGGGCAAGUCUGGUGUCAGCCGCCGCGGUAAUACCAGCACCCCGAGUGGUCGGGACGAUUAUUGGGCCUAAAGCAUCCGUAGCCGGUUGUGCAAGUCCUCCGUUAAAUCCAGCCGCUCAACGGAUGGGCUGCGGAGGAUACUACAGAACUAGGAGGCGGGAGAGGCAAGCGGUACUUAGUGGGUAGGGGUAAAAUCCUUUGAUCCAUUGAAGA
This 493-nucleotide ribosomal RNA is filed under the name uncultured archaeon. Its description in RNAcentral is "bacterial SSU rRNA". It matches the Rfam family "Archaeal small subunit ribosomal RNA", at positions 156 to 656 of the family's 1478-position model. The record is from RNAcentral.